UAAUAAUAAUAAUUACUACGGUCUCAACAUAAUCGCCAUAAUCCCUACAUUAUUCACUUUUGCUAACAGCCCACCAUCACAUCAACCCACAUCAAUCACAGUUGGUCCACAUCUUCCCCAACCAUUCCCUACUGCACCAACACAAAAAAAAUUAAAAAACAAUCAAUAAGAGUGGCUGACAUCCACAAAGGAUGAGAGUUCUAUAUUCACUAUCAUAUCCACACUUGUAAUCGAUACAUCUUACUUUAAUAUAGUUGAGAAUCUACCUAUCACAUUGCCACCAAAGUCUAUCAUUCCAUAUGUUAUCAAUGUGGUAUCAAAUUUGAUAUCACCUACUCUUUUGCAUGACUAUAACGUUGACUUUGUUUUGAUAUUACCGUUAUUGCAUGAUGCUCCCUGGUUGCCACAUUAUUUUCCAAGGUAGUAUUCGAUUGCAAAGUUUUCAUACUGAUAUUAGGAUGUUGCCCAGUAAUUAUUGGCAUACUAUAUUAGCCCAUCAUUUUACUAUCAAUUUUCUUAAAUUUCAUGCCAAAUUAAAACAACAAAUUAUUUUCAACCAUGAAAUUUUUGAGCUUACUUUUAAGGUACAACAUAAGUGUGGAGACCCUAAUGAUAUGUAUUAUGCUUUAUUGUGUGUUUCAUUCAUUCGGUUUCCUAAACACAUGAAGAAAAAGAUUUUUCAUCAUGCGCAUAAAGAAAACAUUAUUAACUAGCCAGCACACUUUAACGAAAAUUACAUUUUUAUUGUGGAAGAAUUGUUUCCUUAUCAAGGUACAUUUAAGCCUUCAAUGUUGCAAUCAUUUUUUCUAUAGGCCAGUCUAUAGUGCUAGUUCCUUGUGCUCCUCUUUAUGCAUGACUAAAUGAAAAUUUUGUGGAUGGAAUUGCAUGAGUUUUUGGUUUUUGAAAUUCUUGUCAAAAUUUGGUUAGAAAGAGAGAUCGUCCCACUGCUUAGAUCACAAUCUUAAAGAUGAUUUGCAGCUUUAGUUGUCAUCAAGUGAUUAGCAUAGAUACCUAGUUAAUAAGAAAUAUCGUCCUCCUUGGUAUGAGUUCAGCAAGAUGUUCUCUAAGGUUCAAUAUAAGCAUCUGGUCAAGACAAAAGAUAGACUUCCUUGGAGUAUGAAGGUCCAACCUACUUCGUCAGAGUUGAGUUCUAUUAGUUCAGCUGAGAAGAAAUGAUGGAGAUCAAGAUUGGAAUAAAAAUAUACAGUUAUAGUUAUAGGAGUUCGUUUUAUUUUUAACUUUUUUGAGUUUAUUACCCUAUAAAUAGAGGGUCUGAUUCAUUCUAAUUCACAACCUCAAUUAUAUGAAUAAAGAUCGAUUUUUCGUCUUUGCCCUCAAUUCUUCUCUUCUUGGACUCCCUUUCUUUCAUAAUCUUCAAUUAUUCUUUAACAAGUUAUUCGCAUCUUGAGUCAAUUAGUUUCUAGAUUUUCUUUACUCUCAUUAUUUUUUAAGUAUUUUCAAAGUAUUCUAUAUAAAAUUUUGUAUCUUAAUUUUUCAAUUUAUAAUUACCUUCUCAAGGCAAAGCACAACUAAUUAGCCAGAUUGGGUUGCUAGACUCAUUCCUGUCACUCAUUUCCUUUUCACAAUUGACCUUGUUAAGCUGACGAUGAGCUGAAUCUUUUUCUUUUUUCUUUUUCUUUUUUUUUU
RNAcentral lists this long non-coding RNA (1647 nucleotides) under Olea europaea subsp. europaea. Lineage: Eukaryota; Viridiplantae; Streptophyta; Magnoliopsida; Lamiales; Oleaceae. The record is from RNAcentral.